AUGCAGUCGACGAACUCUGGUAUUGAUUGGUGCUUGCAUCAUGAUUUACAUUUGAGUGAGUGGCGAACUGGUGAGUAACACGUGGGAAACCUGCCCAGAAGCGGGGGAUAACACCUGGAAACAGAUGCUAAUACCGCAUAACAACUUGGACCGCAUGGUCCGAGUUUGAAAGAUGGCUUCGGCUAUCACUUUUGGAUGGUCCCGCGGCGUAUUAGCUAGAUGGUGGGGUAACGGCUCACCAUGGCAAUGAUACGUAGCCGACCUGAGAGGGUAAUCGGCCACAUUGGGACUGAGACACGGCCCAAACUCCUACGGGAGGCAGCAGUAGGGAAUCUUCCACAAUGGACGAAAGUCUGAUGGAGCAACGCCGCGUGAGUGAAGAAGGGUUUCGGCUCGUAAAACUCUGUUGUUAAAGAAGAACAUAUCUGAGAGUAACUGUUCAGGUAUUGACGGUAUUUAACCAGAAAGCCACGGCUAACUACGUGCCAGCAGCCGCGGUAAUACGUAGGUGGCAAGCGUUGUCCGGAUUUAUUGGGCGUAAAGCGAGCGCAGGCGGUUUUUUAAGUCUGAUGUGAAAGCCUUCGGCUCAACCGAAGAAGUGCAUCGGAAACUGGGAAACUUGAGUGCAGAAGAGGACAGUGGAACUCCAUGUGUAGCGGUGAAAUGCGUAGAUAUAUGGAAGAACACCAGUGGCGAAGGCGGCUGUCUGGUCUGUAACUGACGCUGAGGCUCGAAAGUAUGGGUAGCAAACAGGAUUAGAUACCCUGGUAGUCCAUACCGUAAACGAUGAAUGCUAAGUGUUGGAGGGUUUCCGCCCUUCAGUGCUGCAGCU
This 832-nucleotide ribosomal RNA is filed under the name Lactiplantibacillus plantarum. RNAcentral describes it as "bacterial SSU rRNA". It matches the Rfam family "Bacterial small subunit ribosomal RNA", at positions 55 to 853 of the family's 1533-position model. The record is from RNAcentral. Lineage: Bacteria; Bacillati; Bacillota; Bacilli; Lactobacillales; Lactobacillaceae.